Molecule: ribosomal RNA, 1372 nt
Filed under: uncultured bacterium
Lineage: Bacteria
Description: bacterial SSU rRNA
Rfam family: Bacterial small subunit ribosomal RNA
Source: RNAcentral
GAUGAACGCUGGCGGCGUGCCUAAUACAUGCAAGUCGAGCGAACGGACGAGAAGCUUGCUUCUCUGAUGUUAGCGGCGGACGGGUGAGUAACACGUGGAUAACCUACCUAUAAGACUGGGAUAACUUCGGGAAACCGGAGCUAAUACCGGAUAAUAUUUUGAACCGCAUGGUUCAAAAGUGAAAGACGGUCUUGCUGUCACUUAUAGAUGGAUCCGCGCUGCAUUAGCUAGUUGGUAAGGUAACGGCUUACCAAGGCAACGAUGCAUAGCCGACCUGAGAGGGUGAUCGGCCACACUGGAACUGAGACACGGUCCAGACUCCUACGGGAGGCAGCAGUAGGGAAUCUUCCGCAAUGGGCGAAAGCCUGACGGAGCAACGCCGCGUGAGUGAUGAAGGUCUUCGGAUCGUAAAACUCUGUUAUUAGGGAAGAACAUAUGUGUAAGUAACUGUGCACAUCUUGACGGUACCUAAUCAGAAAGCCACGGCUAACUACGUGCCAGCAGCCGCGGUAAUACGUAGGUGGCAAGCGUUAUCCGGAAUUAUUGGGCGUAAAGCGCGCGUAGGCGGUUUUUUAAGUCUGAUGUGAAAGCCCACGGCUCAACCGUGGAGGGUCAUUGGAAACUGGAAAACUUGAGUGCAGAAGAGGAAAGUGGAAUUCCAUGUGUAGCGGUGAAAUGCGCAGAGAUAUGGAGGAACACCAGUGGCGAAGGCGACUUUCUGGUCUGUAACUGACGCUGAUGUGCGAAAGCGUGGGGAUCAAACAGGAUUAGAUACCCUGGUAGUCCACGCCGUAAACGAUGAGUGCUAAGUGUUAGGGGGUUUCCGCCCCUUAGUGCUGCAGCUAACGCAUUAAGCACUCCGCCUGGGGAGUACGACCGCAAGGUUGAAACUCAAAGGAAUUGACGGGGACCCGCACAAGCGGUGGAGCAUGUGGUUUAAUUCGAAGCAACGCGAAGAACCUUACCAAAUCUUGACAUCCUUUGACAACUCUAGAGAUAGAGCCUUCCCCUUCGGGGGACAAAGUGACAGGUGGUGCAUGGUUGUUGUCAGCUCGUGUCGUGAGAUGUUGGGUUAAGUCCCGCAACGAGCGCAACCCUUAAGCUUAGUUGCCAUCAUUAAGUUGGGCACUCUAAGUUGACUGCCGGUGACAAACCGGAGGAAGGUGGGGAUGACGUCAAAUCAUCAUGCCCCUUAUGAUCUGGGCUACACACGUGCUACAAUGGACAAUACAAAGGGCAGCGAAACCGCGAGGUCAAGCAAAUCCCAUAAAGUUGUUCUCAGUUCGGAUUGUAGUCUGCAACUCGACUACAUGAAGCUGGAAUCGCUAGUAAUCGUAGAUCAGCAUGCUACGGUGAAUACGUUCCCGGGUCU